Molecule: ribosomal RNA, 606 nt
Filed under: Staphylococcus epidermidis
Lineage: Bacteria; Bacillati; Bacillota; Bacilli; Caryophanales; Staphylococcaceae
Description: bacterial SSU rRNA
Rfam family: Bacterial small subunit ribosomal RNA
Source: RNAcentral
GCAAGUCGAGCGAACAGAUAAGGAGCUUGCUCCUCUGACGUUAGCGGCGGACGGGUGAGUAACACGUGGAUAACCUACCUAUAAGACUGGGAUAACUUCGGGAAACCGGAGCUAAUACCGGAUAAUAUAUUGAACCGCAUGGUUCAAUAGUGAAAGACGGUUUUGCUGUCACUUAUAGAUGGAUCCGCGCCGCAUUAGCUAGUUGGUAAGGUAACGGCUUACCAAGGCAACGAUGCGUAGCCGACCUGAGAGGGUGAUCGGCCACACUGGAACUGAGACACGGUCCAGACUCCUACGGGAGGCAGCAGUAGGGAAUCUUCCGCAAUGGGCGAAAGCCUGACGGAGCAACGCCGCGUGAGUGAUGAAGGUCUUCGGAUCGUAAAACUCUGUUAUUAGGGAAGAACAAAUGUGUAAGGGGGGGGGGCACGUCUUGACGGUACCUAAUCAGAAAGCCACGGCUAACUACGUGCCAGCAGCCGCGGUAAUACGUAGGUGGCAAGCGUUAUCCGGAAUUAUUGGGCGUAAAGCGCGCGUAGGCGGUUUUUUAAGUCUGAUGUGAAAGCCCACGGCUCAACCCGUGGAGGGUCAUUGGAAACUGGAAAACUU